This 253-nucleotide ribosomal RNA is filed under the name uncultured bacterium. RNAcentral's name for it is "partial 16S ribosomal RNA". It matches the Rfam family "Bacterial small subunit ribosomal RNA", at positions 524 to 776 of the family's 1533-position model. The record is from RNAcentral.
UACGAAGGGGGCUAGCGUUGUUCGGAAUCACUGGGCGUAAAGCGCACGCAGGCGGAUAGAUAAGUCGGGGGUGAAAACCCGGGGCUCAACCUCGGAAUUGCCUUUGAUACUGUAGGUCUCGAGUCCGGGAGAGGUGAGUGGAAUUCCUAGUGUAGAGGUGAAAUUCGUAGAUAUUAGGAAGAACACCAGUGGCGAAGGCGGCUCACUGGCCCGGUACUGACGAUCAGGUGCGAAAGAGUGGGGAGCAAACAGG